CCCGCUGAACUUAAGCAUAUCAAUAAGCGGAGGAAAAGAAACUAACAAGGAUUCCCCUAGUAACUGCGAGUGAAGCGGGAAAAGCUCAAAUUUAAAAUCUGGCGGUCUUGCGGCCGUCCGAGUUGUAAUCUGGAGAAGCGUUUAUCCGCGUCGGACCGUGUACAAGUCUUCUGGAAGGGAGCGUCGUAGAGGGUGAGAAUCCCGUCUUUGGCAUGGACACACCAGGGCUUCUGUGAUGCGCUCUCGAAGAGUCGAGUUGUUUGGGAAUGCAGCUCAAAAUGGGUGGUGAACUCCAUCUAAAGCUAAAUAUUGGCGAGAGACCGAUAGCGAACAAGUACCGUGAGGGAAAGAUGAAAAGCACUUUGGAAAGAGAGUGAAACAGUACGUGAAAUUGUUGGAAGGGAAACGCUUGAAGUCAGUCGCGUCGGCCGAGACUCAGCCUUGCCUCGGCUUGGUGUAUUUCUUGGCCCGACGGGUCAGCAUCAAUUUUGCCCCUUGGAUAAUGGCUAGGGAAAUGUGACACCUUUAUAGGUGUGUUAUAGUCUCUCGUCGCAUGCAAGGGUCAGGAUUGAGGAACUCAGCAUGCACCUUCGGGUGUCGGGGCUUUUGUCCACGAUACAUGCUUAGGAUGUUGGCGUAAUGGCUUUAAACGACCCGUCUUGAAACACGG
RNAcentral lists this ribosomal RNA (670 nucleotides) under uncultured fungus. RNAcentral's name for it is "eukaryotic LSU rRNA". It matches the Rfam family "Eukaryotic large subunit ribosomal RNA", at positions 24 to 664 of the family's 3401-position model. Lineage: Eukaryota; Fungi. The record is from RNAcentral.